This 1076-nucleotide ribosomal RNA is filed under the name Haptophyta environmental samples. RNAcentral's name for it is "SSU rRNA". It matches the Rfam family "Eukaryotic small subunit ribosomal RNA", at positions 483 to 1589 of the family's 1831-position model. Lineage: Eukaryota; Haptophyta. The record is from RNAcentral.
AUACAGGGCUACUUCUAGUCUUGUAAUUGGAAUGAGUACAACUUACAUCUCUUCACGAGGAUCAAUUGGAGGGCAAGUCUGGUGCCAGCAGCCGCGGUAAUUCCAGCUCCAAUAGCGUAUAUUAAAGUUGUUGCAGUUAAAAAGCUCGUAGUCGGAUUUCGGGUCGGGCCGAGCGGUCUGCCGAUGGGUAUGCACUGUUUGGCGCGGCCUUCUUUCCGGAGACCGCGGCUACUCUUAACUGAGCGGGCGUGGGAGACGGAUCGUUUACUUUGAAAAAAUCAGAGUGUUUCAAGCAGGCAGCUCGCUCUUGCAUGGAUUAGCAUGGGAUAAUUGAAUAGGACUCUGGUGCUAUUUUGUUGGUUUCGAACACCGGAGUAAUGAUUAACAGGGACAGUCAGGGGCACUCGUAUUCCGUCGAGAGAGGUGAAAUUCUCAGACCAAUGGAAGACGAACCACUGCGAAAGCAUUUGCCAGGGAUGUUUUCACUGAUCAAGAACAAAAGUUAGGGGAUCGAAGACGAUCAGAUACCGUCGUAGUCUUAACCAUAAACCAUGCCGACUAGGGAUUGGAGGGUGUUCGUUUCGACCUCUUCAGCACCUUACGGGAAACUAAAGUCUUUGGGUUCCGGGGGGAGUAUGGUCGCAAGGCUGAAACUUAAAGGAAUUGACGGAAGGGCACCACCAGGAGUGGAGCCUGCGGCUUAAUUUGACUCAACACGGGGAAACUUACCAGGUCCAGACAUUGUUAGGAUUGACAGAUUGAGAGCUCUUUCUUGAUUCGAUGGGUGGUGGUGCAUGGCCGUUCUUAGUUGGUGGAGUGAUUUGUCUGGUUAAUUCCGUUAACGAACGAGACCGUAGCCUGCUAAAUAGUUCCGCGAACUUCUUGUUGGCGGUCGACUUCUUAGAGGGACAACUUGUGACCAACAAGUGGAAGUUUGCGGCAAUAACAGGUCUGUGACGCCCUUAGAUGUUCUGGGCCGCACGCGCGCUACACUGAAGCACUCAACGAGUCCACCUCGACCGACAGGUCUGGGAAACCUUUUGAAAUUGCUUCGUGAUGGGGAUAGAUUAUUGCAA